Non-coding RNA from Rattus norvegicus (Norway rat), 8453 nucleotides. The record is from RefSeq and is a predicted model, not a curated record. NCBI's taxonomy places the organism in Eukaryota, Metazoa, Chordata, Mammalia, Rodentia, Muridae.
UUUUUUUUUUUUUUUUUAGUGGAGCAUCUAGGAUUUGGACUGUUUUCAAAAGGAACUUUUGGGUGUCCCUUUAUAAGAGAGGUACUCGAUCUGGCGAGAGAAGACGGCCAAUGUGGAGCCCACAGUAGGUGAUUUGGGAACUUAUGAGGUCCCUUAGACAUAAAACAGGAAAACAUGCAUGUAGGGGGAAGGGGGUCUCUUUGAGAGAUCUGCCCAGAGGUUGCUCUCAAGCCAAGCUCGGAUAAGCCAGUAGGAGAGUCUAACGCAGGAGGGGACGUGACAUGAAGUGAUCUAGCCAGGUUUGGGCACCAUGGGAACGGUCCAACCCGUAAGAAGAAGCAGGUGGUACAGCCCAAAGGAAAAGGCGUGGCCUAGGCGUCGGAUAGAGGCAGGCUGGUGACAUGGCCUUAUGCUCAAUAGUGAUAGCACGCCGCUAUCUGAGGGCAAAGGCCUGGGCAAGUUAGCUCCGGCUCUUAUCAGGAUCCUGCCAGUGGUUUACUUAUAGAGCUAUGGUAGAAAGCCGGAGCCGGAGCGAACCGGAGCAAACCGGAACCGGAGCUGCCGCUAACCGGGCAAGCGCCUCCAGGGCGGGACUUCCGGUUUAUGGACCAAAAGCGGGCGGGUCAGAGGUCAAGAUCUCGCGUAGCGGCGUGACGUAGGGGGGGCGUAACCAAGCUACCCUCGCGCCGGAAACAGCGUGUCAGGAGCCAGCCCACCGGGAUCGAGCGCGGAAAUUGAAAUCGAUUGAGAGAAGAGGAAGUUCCAAAAUAGUGAAUGGCUGGGAUCCGGUGAAUACUUGGAUGUGUACACCUUAGUUUGGAUAAACUCUUCUAAAAACCCCUGUUGCCUUUUCUUCUGCUUUCUGUACUGCUUCUGCAUGAGUCCACUGAGGUGAGAAGAGGCUACUAGGUCACCUGGAGCUGGAGUUAUGAGCCACGUGUCACGGUACUGAGACCUGAACUCACUCGGGUCCUCUGGAAGAGCUUUUGACCAUGGAGCCACAUCAACACUAGGAGGUAAUUAUUCGACAUUGUGUGCAUCUUCCUGAGCACUGUAACUAUUAUGGGACAUUUCUGACUUCCCCAAAAUGAUCACAUCAAAAAUUUCUCAAGACAUGUCCAAAUCUCCCCUGAGAAGAAGAGCAAAAUGAUGCUGUUAGAAAACCACUGAGAUAAAAGGGUACACACUCAGACUUGUGUAUAUGUGAAUCUUGAUGAGUUUAAUGAAAUGGCUAAUAUUCUUUUAAAUGAUUGAUACAUAUCCACUAUUAACAAGGAAUUAGUGUUUUCAAACAUUGCUUUGCUCUAAGAGUCCAGGUUUCUCAACUUCUUUGCAGUUUAUUAAUUAAUGUAGGAAAAGGAAUUCGUUACUAAUGCUAGUUUAGUUACACCUGAUGGCUUGAAAAGUGGAUCAUGAACAUAUUGCCACUGUCAGUUUGUUUUCUCCAACAUUGAUUGUGGCUUCACUGACAGAAAUUAGCAUUGACCAAAAUCAAUUUCUGGCUGCUGGUUAUGCCUCCACCCUACCUAGCCUGGUUUAUUCAGAACACUGACACUUCAUAUGCUUAGACAUAAAAUUGGAAAGGUCAUGUUUAUCUAGUUACUAAUGGUUAUGUGAGUGAGACUUUUCUUUCUGUGGUUUAUUAUUAUUAUUAUUUGUUUUUAUGUAGGGAAGUCAAAAACUGAGGGCCUGAAAUCGGAAUGUUCCUAUUAGAAUUGUUUGAUGGUUUAGUCCUAACCAAGAAAACAAAAAUAGUAGCCCACAGAUGUAGAAUUUUACUUGAUUAACUUUCCACAUUGUAAGUCAUGUUCAUAUUUCUAAGGUGCUUUGAAAAAAAAUUAAUGUACAAUAGGCCUUGAUUGGACUUUCAGGAUGCUACACUGUCUCAACCUAUUUUUUUUCCUCCAUCUUUAUUAAAUUGGGUAUGUCUUAUUUACAUCUCAAUUGUUAUUCCCUUUCCUGGCCUCCAGGCCAACAUCCCCCUAGCCCCUCCCCCUCUACAUGGGUGUUCCCCUCCCCACCCUCCCCCCAUUACCGCCCUCCCCCCAACAAUCACAUUCACUGGGGGUUCAGUCUUGGCAGGACCAAGGGCUUCCCCUUCCACUGGUGCUCUUACUAGGCUAUUCAUUGCUACCUAUGAGGUUGGAGUCCAGGGUCAGUCCAUGUAUAGUCUUUGGGUAGUGGCUUAGUUCCUGGAAGCUCUGGUUGAUUGGCAUUUCAACCUAUUUUUACCCAGGAAAUAUUAUGGUCUUUGCUGUACCACUGAGCAUAUGUCCUCUUGUGAUAAUGCACCCUUCCCCUGCUUAGUUAAAAAGACAGUACUGAUUGUUUCUGCCAACUUCACUGGCAGGGGAAGACCUGCUGUAUGUACACUCAGGACCUAGAAUGACCGAGAAUGUGGAAUCUUAAAGAAAGGUAAAGAAAAAAAACUCUUUGCUAGUUCCCACAGUAAGAGGAUUGCUAACGUGUCUUUAACAUUCUCCUUCUGAUGUUUUAGUCUGAUUUGUCAGAAGCAGCAUUACUGAGAGGUAGUAGCUCAUUCAGACACCAGCGUUUCAGGGCAUCCCUGAGUACCGAGCUUGUAUGUUUCCUUGCUGAAGUCAUCUAUGGUUAUGAACUAAGACUGAUGCCUACUGUCUUAUAAGAUAAGAGACUGAAACCGGUGACUAUUAUGACUUGUAAUUUAACAGCCCGCAUAUGUUAGUCAAUAAUGAAAUUCCCAGUCACUAGAAAAGAAAUGAGGUGGAAGGUCCUAAACUUAGUGAGAGAAAUUUUCCUUUGCUAUUAAUGAGAUGUGACAAAUAUGAGCUAGAGUGGGAUAGUACAAAUGUAAUGUUACUCCAGUGAUUGGUAAUGCUCAUGGUCUCUGUACCUUUAGAAAGAAGUCACCUCACACCUGGGACCCUAGGGAGGCCAAGGCAGGAGUUCCAAGACAUUCUGAGCUUUGUAGCUGUACAACAGUAUCUUACACAAAACCAAACAGACUUGAGUGUAGUGUGAGUCUCUAAAAUAUAGUAGUAUGAGUCUCUAAAAUAUAGCCACAAGUCACUUGUUAUUUACAAGUAAAUUUUAAUUUCAUUAAACUUUUAUAAUUGUGCCUAUUCCUUGCUAUAUUUAUACCAUACAUUUCCAUCUUCAGAGAAAAUUUUAUCAGACGAUACUGCUCGGUAUUAUGACUGCAUUACUAAGUUCUCCCAGUUUUCCAAUUUUGAAGGCCAUCGGACUUGGAGAGCAGUAGUACUAGCAGGCUUGUUUUAUGAAGUCUUCAGGAAGAUUUCUAGUGGAGGAUGGAAUGCCCAUUCAUCAGCCUUCCAAUAACCUUGAGAAACAAUGGCUGGAUUAAGAAUUUCUUGAGUUUAAAGUUAUGUGCGGCUCCCUGGAACUAACAGGAAGCCCUGGAGCUAGACACAGGGAAUGCAGGCUUUAUUUUCUGAGGUAGCAAUGCCAUGUGAUUCCACUGGUUGGUCAGUUCAGCUUCUGGGUUUCCCCCAUAAGCCUGAUAGUCCAGCAAAGCCAUUUGUGCUUCUGUGACUGUCGGUAAAGCCUUAAUGAGAGCCUGUGUACUCCAUCAUAAGACCAAAGCCUACUAAGAAGGUCUUUGGUUCCAUGGGACCUCAUGAAAAAGACAGGAUAGAGAGGCAGUGUGGCAGGUGGGAGUAAACCACAAUGGUCAUUCUCAUUUUCCUAAGAGGUUAGAAAAGAGGAAAGGAAAAUCAUUCUGGUAAUUCGUUGUUUGAUUUUUUUUUUUUUUUUGAGCCAGGGUCUUACUGUAUAACUCAUGCUAGCUUAGAACUCAUACAGAUUUGCUUGCCACUGCCUUCUGAAUGAUGGGUUAAAGACGUGCACCACGAUGCCUGGUAAUAAAUUUUAUGUAAGCCUGUGUAGUCAGGAUGUUGAACUCUUUAAGAAUUAUUUCUAAGUGAAUUUUAGAAGCAAGUCUUCAUAGCUGGUGGGUGUGUUCCAUUUCUAGCACCUCGUGCAUUGGACUGAUCAAGGAAGGCAGCAGGAAGAAAGCAGGCCUUGAGAAGGAAGGACAAAUGGGGUGAGAUAAGGUGGACUUUAAUACAACAGUCUCUAGCAUGAGCACACUGGGUAUUUCAGGAAUCUGCUGAGAGUCAGGACACAGAUAUAGAGGGGUGAGAACGGAAGUUUCAUAGGAUGUUUGGGAUCUAGAGGCCUGAGCUGGUUGGCUGUCAUAGGCAAGGGGAGGAAGUGAUAAACCUGAAAGGUCCUUAAGGAAGAAGUAAUAUAGUGGUCGUUGUGGUAAUGGGAAAUAAAGAACAAUCAAAUGACACUAGUAAUGCUCUUACUUGGUCAGUCUACAAGUUGGGGUGUUUGUUUUUCAGAGUAGAAAAAGGACAUGACUAACAGAUCUAUCAUGGCACUGCACCUUUGCUCACUCCAUGACUGACAAAAAUCACGCUCUCCUUUUCUUUUCCCACCUGUGUGAAAAAGUCCUUGGUUAGACCGAAGGGAAAUGAACAAAUUCCGGGAGAUUGUUCCAGACUGCUUUUUGUUUAAGAGAAGAAAGGAGGAGACGAGAGUUUUUUCUUUUUAGAAAAACAAGCUAUUGGCAAAAAGCUGGUGAUGAACCAGCCUGCCUCCAUCUUAAAUAAAGGCCAUCUUAUAGUAAAGACAACUAGGUUCAUUCCUGUUUAUGAUUAAGCCUCUGUGUCUGAAGGAUUGGGCUAUGCCCACCUGUACCCUUAACUACAAAAGGUUCUUUACUGCCUGUUCCAGGAAUGGCCAUCAUGUUGUGGUUCCUAAAGUCGGUGAUAACCAUCUUGCAACCCUACCUUUGUUUCAGAGGGUUAUAUGAGCAUCUCUGACUACCUUGUUAUGGCUACCUGUUGUUAUGACUACCUUGUUCUGCCCUCCUCCGACCAUGUCUUUGUGUCAGGAGGGGUUAACUUGUUAUCCUUACAUUCUGUACCUAUUUUGCCUGCCAAAUCUCCCAUUUGGAAAUCUCCUAUCCCUGAGCUAUAAAUAAAAGUGUUGUGUUCCUCACAUACAAUGCUGACCUCUGGAACCCUGCCUUAGGGGGAGGCACCCCAUGUAUGUGAAUAAAAAAGCUGGCUUUAGAUAAUUUGGACAUGAUUUGGGUCUGUGGUCUCUCUCCUCCCAUCUUUGGGACUGACACUGGAUCCACCAGGAAGUUGGUAAGGAAGUCUUGCUGUCAGUGUCUAAGUUAGUAAAAGGGCAGGUGAGUAUGGGGAAAGAAAGUACAAAUGAAACUGCACUUGGAAGCCAGAAGAGGCCAGUUGAAAGGGUAGGCCCAGGUCUCUGCAGCCAAUGAGUGUGAGUGAGAGAGUAGACAGUUUCCCUUCUCCCUACCACCUUUCUGUUGUUUUUUUCAAGAUGGUUUCUCUGUGUAGCCGUGGCUGUCCUGGAACUUGCUCUGUAUACUGGGCUGGCCUUGAAUUCAGAAUCCAUCUGCCUCUGCCUCCCAGUAUCCCACUGCCCAACUCAGCUUCGGUUUCCUGAAAUGGUAAACGAUUAUGGCUGACUUAUGAGUAUCAUCACAGGGAGUUCUUGACUAGUCCCCUUCUUUCCCAGUUUUAACAGAGACCUUAUUCAUUAGCUUUGAAGAAGAUGAAUUCGAUGGCUAUCACUUAGUAUGCCAGAGGGGAAGAUAUAGUCUCUGUGACAGAUGUUCAGGUGGCUGUAGUGGCACUAGAGAGACAGUCUGGGAUACAGAGAGAGACCCUGUCUCAAAGGAUCAGAGCCAUUUAAGGAAUUUCUAGAAAGAUGUCCAUUCUGAUCAGGCUAUACUAUUAAAAUAGUAUGUCAUUUAAAAUUUGUAUUCUAGUUGGUUUCUAAAGGACAUAGGCUUCAGGUAUCUCCAGAGAUAAAAAAGACAACUGUAUUAUACAGGGAGUAAUAAAAAGCAUCCUGUUUUCAGAAGCUUCUUACAGAGCCUUCCUGUGCCCACUUUGCCAAGUUCUAACUCAAAAAAGUAAAGUUUUCCUUUCUUUCUCUUUUUUGGAUGCUGACCAGAAGCCUGGGCAUGCUUUCUCUGGUACUCUUUCUGUAAGGUUGCUUACCUCAUUUCCUGUGACAGGCCUCUGCUAUUCAGUAGCCCUGCCCUUGUCAGAUGUUCCCAUCUAUAGUCAUAUAAUACAACUUUCUAAACUAAAAAAAAGACCUAAGUUUUCAUAGAACAGGAGUUCUCAACUGUGGCACUCAAGAUUUUGGGCUGAAAAAUUAUGGGAGUACACAUAUAUUCUAGGGCAGUGCUGUUCAACCUGUGGGUGAUGGGUGACCCCUUUGCAGGUUACAAUCCUUUCAUGGGGGUAGCAUAUCAAAUAUUUACAUUAUGACUCAUAACAGUAGCAAAAUAAUUACAGUUAUGAAGUAGCAGCAAAAUGAUUUUAUGCUUUGGGCUCACCAUUGCAUGAGGAACUCAGGAGCUUUUUAUUAUUCCCCUGUAUUAAAAGGUUUGCAGCUUUAGGAAGGCUAAGAACUAGGGAUAUUUAGAACAUCUCUAUCAUUUGUCCGCUAGAUGGCACUGCUGCACCUUGUGAUAGUAUGACCAUCCUGAGGGGGGCAGAAUCACUGGUCUAGACAGACUCUAGACAGUUCCCUGUCAUUGUUGCUGUGACACUUGUGCCCACCCCCACCCCCAAUACACACAUACCUGGAAAGAAGAAUGAAUAUAUAUUUUUGAAUUUCUAUUUUUAGCAAUCGAAGGAGAGGAGCUGUCUUUUCUGUGAAGGUGAGUGAGAAUAUGCAGAUUUCUGUUUGUGUGGAACUAGGAGCCUUCCCAGGCACUUAGGUCCAUAAGUUCUUCGUCUUAGUUUACCUGAAUUUCAGAUGAAACCAGGAAACAGAAAUUGACAAAGGGAAACGAUUUAUUUGUAAAUUGGGCGAAUAUUGAGUAGUUGGCUUAUUAAUUUUAAGUGUGUUUACAAACUAGAAGACAGAAAUUUGUGGAGGUGGUAAUUUUAUUCAACUCUGAGCUUGGAGAACUGAGUUCUAGGCCACAGGCCUCAUAGGAAAGCACUCCCCAUUUUCCCAGGGAGCCUCAGAUCUUGGGUUUUUCUAGGGCAGUGGGUAGAAAACUUCUGCUCUUACAGUCCUUUGUUCUCCCAUAGAGAGAUUUAUUCUAACUCUUCUGCAGUUUUGGAGCCCUGAGGACAUCCUGAAGUCCUAUUAACAUACUAAUAAGGGAAGGAAAGAAGUUUGAGCCCAAGUGUGAAGGAUUAGUCUGCCAGUGAAUAUGGUGAUAAUCAAGUCUUACAGGCUUUGUUUAUUUUGCAUAUUAAUGCAUACUUUGUAGUCUGUUCUGUUAUAUACUCAUUUAAUUUCUUUCCUACCCGGACAAGGCCAUCUUAACAAUUUAUAGGAUGGCAGGAGACCGGCUAGAACAUGGGCAGAUUUAGCUCUGAGGUGCGUUGUCUAGUCCAUCACUGGGUAGAAGGGAACCGAACUCCAGGUCGCUUCUGUUCUCUCUUAAUGGAGAUAGGUUUUUCUUUAAGUCUGGGCUGAGGAAAAUGGAGUUGUAAUGAUACCAUCCUCCAGUUUUAAAAAGGAAAACAACCACCUUUUAUUUUUUUAAGUGUGUGUGGGGGUGAAGGGGCACGGUACAAUUCCCACUCAUAGUCUUUGCCAAGUUCUUUGUGCCUAUGUAUGGAAGUGGAAGCCUUUUGUAUUUUGUCUUGUGUGUGAGCUUCCUUGUGAAUUUCUUUCCUGUAAGGAUUCAAAUUCUCUGAGUGAAAAAAGAUGAGUGUGAUCUCUGCAGGGACCUGCUGUCUCUCAUUAGCAGUGGUUCUCACCCUUCCUAAGUGCUAUGACCCUUUAAUACAGUUCCUCAUGUUGUGGUGAUACCCAAACAAAAUUAUUUUGUCCCUACUUCAAAACUGUAAUUUUGCUUCUGUUACUGAAAGACCCCCCCACUCUCGAAAGAAAAUUAUAUGAGCUUAAGGUCCACAAAUACAAAGUAAAAGUUUUAAGAUUCACAGACUCAGAGCUGAAGCAGGCCUGGGCGAGCCCAGACACGCCCAGGCACAUAGGGCCUGCGUCACCGCUAGAACUAACAGACCAUAAAAGGAAAAAGAAUGCAGAACAAGCCCGGGGUAUCGGAUCUAACUCAUGGGCCAUCUGGCAGGAAGAGAUAAGCCCCUAGCCCCUGACAUUCCAGAUGCCCCAGCCUGCACAUAUUCUUUUACCAUGUUGUAACCUCAUUUGAAUGUGUUUAAAACAGCCAAUUGUGUGUAGCUAUACAUUUGUGCCUCAUUUGAAUAUUGUAUGGAAUAGCCAAUUAUGUGUGACCAUGCUUCUGCGCCUCAUUUGAAUCCACCAAUCCCUGUAACCAUGCAUCUGCUUCUGUAUGCCUGCUUCUGCUCCCCAGAACCCUAUAAAAGCCCCCUGCUGGAUCUGCACGGCGCGGAAGUCUUCCAAAGAGACUGUGUGCCCACAGGUACCUGUGUUAAUAAACCCUUGUGCUGAUUGCA